GUGUCUUGGAGAAUACUGGCCUGAACUCAGGGUUCAUGGGGAUCAACUUGUGUCCUGGUGGGGCCGUAGCCGAGACACAGAUGCAGCCUGGAUCAAGAAGAGUCCCCUCCACUCCUAAUUUCCGCUACCUGAGAAGAGCUACAUCCAGGUGUGAAUAUUGGAAGAGGC
This is a non-coding RNA of Delphinapterus leucas (beluga whale), 168 nucleotides long. Lineage: Eukaryota; Metazoa; Chordata; Mammalia; Artiodactyla; Monodontidae. The record is from RefSeq and is a predicted model, not a curated record.